This is a long non-coding RNA of Lucilia cuprina (Australian sheep blowfly), 759 nucleotides long. RefSeq lists it as uncharacterized. The record is from RefSeq and is a predicted model, not a curated record. The transcript has 3 exons. NCBI's taxonomy places the organism in Eukaryota, Metazoa, Arthropoda, Insecta, Diptera, Calliphoridae.
GAUAUAGGGUUUAUUAUGAAUUCAUUUUUAAUUUCUUCCUUCAGAACGUGCUCAAAUACCUUUCCAAGAUUAGAAAGCAAGGAUAUAGGGCGGAAAUCGGACAAUUCCUCACUGUCGUUUUUCUUUUUUAUUGGGAUUAUUUUUGCCAACUUCCAAUCAAUGGGAAAAUAACAAUUGUUAAUACAAUGAUUUAUAAUACAGAGUCGGUGAAAUGGUAUCCAUCCGGAUUUGAAAAUACGUUAAAAUUGUCGUCAAAGGUGAAAAUGUGGUUUGGAAUUACCUCAAUACAAUUUAAGAUUCUUGAGUCAAGAUCAUCCACCGGCCGCUCUGAAGUUGUUCGACGAAAAUUUGAUGAAUAAAAGAUUCGGAAAUGAUCUGCAAUUUCCGCAGGAUUAGAUAUGACAUUAUCAUCGUGUCGUAUCUGUCGACACAGCGGAGAUUUCCUUCCCCCUGUAAAGUGCAUAUUCAAUUCCAACAGAUUCUUUAAUAAUUAUCUUCAGAAGUUGAAUUUGUUUAGAUAAUAUUUUGUAAUCACUGCUGAGUCUGUUUCCGGUGCGGUGAAAGAUAUUCUUCAGUUCCUUUUGCCAUUGGUACUUCAUUUUGAAGAGUUUUUUGGUUCUCUCCGAAAUUGGCGUUUUCUUGCAAUUAGUUAUUUGUAAUUUAUAAAUUAUAACAGUAAUAUUAUUAUCAUGUUAUCUUUGAAAAUUCUUUUGAAAAUAUUUUCAUUAUUACAUAAUAAUUAAUUUAUAUUAGAAUUCA